AUGUCCAUUUCCAUGGUGGGCAGGGUAUCGAUUUAAUCGCCAAUGGCAAGAGCAAGAAGACCAAGCGAACCGCACCAAAAUCUAAAGAUAUUUACCUCAAGCUUCUCGUCAAAUUGUAUUGGUUUUUGGUGUAGAGGACUAGAAGCAACUUCACUGCUGUAAUAUUGAAGAGGCUGUUCAUGAGCAAGGUUAACAAAGCUCCGAUGUCUCUAUCUAGAUUGAUUCGCUUUAUGCAAGGGAAGAGGAUAAGAUAGCUGUGAUUGUGGGGACGGUUACUGAUGAUACUAGGGUUUAUGAGGUCCCGGCACUGAAGGUGGCUGCUUCGAGGUUUAUGGAAAGGGCAAGGGCAGGGAUAUUGAAGGUUGGAGGAGAAUUCUUGAUUUUCGACCAACUUGCGCUUAGGGCUCCUCUUGGCCAGAAUACGGUAUUGACUCCAUGAUCUUUUA
Molecule: long non-coding RNA, 446 nt
Organism: Telopea speciosissima
Lineage: Eukaryota; Viridiplantae; Streptophyta; Magnoliopsida; Proteales; Proteaceae
Exons: 3
Source: RefSeq, a predicted model, not a curated record